This 27218-nucleotide long non-coding RNA is filed under the name Triticum aestivum (bread wheat). RNAcentral's name for it is "long non-coding RNA (TAES_LNC020591)". Lineage: Eukaryota; Viridiplantae; Streptophyta; Magnoliopsida; Poales; Poaceae. The record is from RNAcentral.
UGAGCACCACUUCUGUUUUCCUGAUUUUAUUCACAGAAAUAAUGCAAACCGGUGAAGCUCUUCUGUACAAGCAGAUGUAGCUUACCUUAUUGGUUCGAACCUUUUAUGUCCAUGUUUAUUUGAUGCGCUGGUGAAGCCUUGUGUGCUUUGAUGGAGAAGUAGAAACGAAUUUGAAGGAUUGUACCUUGUAUGUUACAUGAGCCUGUUUUUCUUCUUUAAUAAUGUUAUAAAGAAUGACUAUCCUCAUAAUCUGAGUGAACUCUAAAAUUAUGUCGGCAUCUGAUGGCUAAUGUUUGCUCUAGUUGAUAUUAAUAAUGGAUUUGUGUUCCACUUCUAUUCGGCUUCCUGAGCAGCAGCCAGACGAAGCUAAAAUGAAGGCAGAACCUUAGUCUAGCCCCCAUCUCCUUCAAAAGAUAUAUUUUCUUUCUGAACCUUGUUGGCGAUGAAGCACCCUGUACAACACGUGGACUCUGAGAAGUGGGUUUGGGCCACCACAUUGUUAUCAAGCCUCCUUUGUCCUUCGUGGCACGUAAUUCCUUCAUGAUUUGGCUGUUGGCUUGAUUCUCUUCCUGUUGAACACAGAGUGUUUUAACCGGACUAAGCACGCCGUCUUAUAAUCCUGCAGACUAAUCUUGAUCGACUUAUGAAGUUGCUGCAAUAAAUAGUGAGAAAACUACAAGCCACGGUGGCUCCUAUCCUCAUGGACAGGGGAUGAUGAAUGAUGAGUAACAUGUAAGUUGCGUUUUUUCCCCCAUAUCUAAAGAUAAAAAACAAGAACAGAAAAUAAGAUUCACUUAGUGAUAAAGUCAACAAGCGCACAUGUCAGGCUGGGAAUAGUUUGGAUCAAAACUUAGUUUUUGGUUUGGUUUUUGAUUUGGUCUCACUAGUUUGGUCUCUACUGGAUUUAGAUAGACAAACAAUUUGGUUCGGUUUGAGUUGUGGCUAAUAACGGAUUGGAUAUGUUUAGGUUGGGUGCAGACUUAUGGGUUGAAAACUGUUGCAAACUAUGGUUUGAGACCGGAUUGAUGGGUUAGUCUCAAGCGAAGGUCCAAAUGCCACCACCUUCCCAGCACGCUCAGUCGCUUCUUGUCAAUCUAUCCAUCGUCCAACCCAAGCUUCGUCCACGUGCGUACUCGUGCCAUGGACGCCUCUGACUUGGGAGAAGAUGAUCUUGACUUGGACCUGCUGCACCUCCAUGACCACGCCGACGACAAGGGUGACAUCCAUGACCACGUCGACGCCGGCGUAGAACCUAUGAUGUUGGGAAUAAGCCGUGACCGGCACGGUGGUGACCGGCGUGCGUGUGCGCCAGGAACGGUCCGUGCAGGCCAUAGGAGCGUAUGUGUGUUUGUCCGUGCGUGUGUGCGCCAGGAGCGAUCCGUGCAGGGCAUGGGCGUGUGUGUGUGCGUGCGUCGGGAGCGUGGCAUGGGCGUCGGGCGCGCGAGCCGGCCACGUCGAGUGGAUGCAUGCGCGUCGGGCGGGCGAGCCGUGGAGCGCGAGACGUGCCGAGUGCGCGAGUGGGGUGCGUCGAGAGCGCGGCGUGGCGCAUUAGUGCUAUAAGUCCCCCUCCCUCGCGUGUAUUGUACCAAGCGGACCGAGUUCGUGCUCGAGGAGAAAAACAAAAAAACUGUCGGUGCGACAAGGUGUUUGUCUGUGACCAAAUUCUCGGUGUCCAUUCUCCCACUGUAUCUUGUUGUCUUCGGUGAUCACCGGUGCGCCGGGAGUCCGUUUUAGCUAACAUAGGAGACGAUGGCGACCAACACACCCUGAGCAAACGAUCAUGACCUGAACGGCAACUGCCUUCUUCAAGUUUGUUUGUAUCCAAGUUCCAACACCCGAGCAGCAAAUACUCACUAGUCAGUUACACGGCUGUUGUGCUUUGUCCAUGGUUUGAGUUUGUGGGUUUAAUCCAAAACUUGGAAACAGUUUGAGCUGGAUUGGGUGGGAAAUACGUAUAGUUUGGUUUGGUUUGGAUUCUAGCUACAAGUUUUUGGUUUGGACGCUGGAGCUAUACUCGUACAGUCUGGACUGGUUUUAGCCUGGAUGUCAAACUACAAGCUAUACUCGUACAUAAAAGAGCUUGAUAAUUUCCAAGUGCAAUUGUCGUAGCACUUUUCAAUGAUGGAGAGGGUAAGUAUGGAUUGUCGAACCAACAUGGAGCUAAAGGUAAUAUCAAUAUGCCAUUUAUACAACUCUUCAUACACCAAGCGUUUGCUUUAUCUAGCAAAUAAAACUAGAACUACUUUACAGGUAUGAAAGGAUAGCUUUGCAAGAUCACAACAAUUGUGAACAUAAAAGUUAAGUGUUGCCUAAGUAAUAGUACAAUAUUAUACAAUAUAAUACAAAUAGGGAGUGAGAAAUAGUGGUGGUAUGGUGUGUGGAAUUGUCCCUGGGUAAUUAGCUAAGUUACUAAACCGAUCAUCAUUGCAAGUUUAUAUGUGGGAGAAGUCUCUGCUAACGUACAAUCCAUAAUUUGAGUCGCACGUUCUAUUAUUGAAGCUAUUAGAAAACAUCCACAAUUACUAACAAGUUCAUUAAGGUAAAUACAACCAUAAUAUUAAGAUAUAUUGCCCCCCCCCCCCUUCAAUCUCAUAUGUACCAAUUUCCAUGGUGAGGCGAGGUUUCGGUCACUCCUGCCGCCAUAUGCAUAGUCCUAUAAACAUACUAAUAACCCUAAUGUGUGGUCCAUGCGCCCUCUCCUAUUAUGGACACCAAAGGAUAGUAGCAUAACCGCAUGCAACUUAAACCGAUCACAACAAUUCAACAAUUAACCCAUAGGACAACAAUACUCUACUCGGACAUAAAGAAGAUGCAAUAAAUCAUCAUAAUAAUAAUCGAUAGCAUCCAUGUUCAAGUAGGGGAUUACAACGGGUUGUGGGAAAGUGGAUCGCUGGAUAGAAGUGAGGAAGGUGAUGGAGAUGCCGGUGAUGAUAGUUCCCCCAGCGACACUCCGGCACCAUUGGGAGAGAUGGGGAGAGAGCCCCCUCCUUCCUCCAUGGCCUCCGUCCUAGAUGGAGAGAGGUUCUUCCCUCUUGUUCAUGGCCACCAUGGUUCCCGGAGGGGCGAGAGCCUCUCUAACAUUGUAUCUCUCCUCCUCUUUUUCCCUCUGUUUUCUUCUCUGUUUCAGAUUUGUUUCUAUGGCUGAGCACGUUUCCUAAAUAUCCAGAGAUUCGUAACUCCGGCCGGGAUGAUUUUUUGACCCUAUCCCCCUACCAAAAAUUAGCUUUCAUGCGGCGAAAGAAGGUUCCCUCGCGCACCACCUUAUGCUAAUUCCUUCGCCCAAAAAUCCGAUAUUUUCUAUAAACAAUUCACAUUUUUUAGCUUCAGGGCUUCGUGAAUUUUUGACCUAUAUUUCAAAAAACAAUAGAAAACAAGAGCUGGCUUUUGGCACUGGAUUAAUAGGUUAGUACAAAUAAAUGUUGUUCCAAAAACAUAAAUAAAUGAUGCAAAUAAAGCAUGAAUACUUAAAAAUUAUUGAUACGUGGGAGACGUAUGAGUGCUACAUGGAUCAAGUUAAUUGGAUUAACAUGCAAUAGAUAUGGUAUGUUCAUUGGAUGCCACAAUUAUAGAUGGAGGUUAAUCAUGGAUGAACAUGGCAUAGGAUGGUGAUGGAUAUAAACUAAGACUAUCUACUUAUUUUAAAUGAAGUAGGAAAUCAUAUAUAAAGAAUUUCCCAAAUAAUACAUAACAAGAGAAAGGUUAAUUAUGGAUUAAGCCUUAACUGCAAUUUUAGUUGAUGCACACAUGCAUGAGGAUGACAUAUUAAUGAUCUAUGAAUUAUGCUAAUCAACAUGGCUUAUUAAACCAAGCUUGGAUAAAUUAGUUAUUAAUUAGGCUUUUUAAUAAUGUAUUAAUGUAGUUUAGUUAAAUCCAACAUUUUAAAUAGUGCAAACAUGUAUGCAAAAGACAUAUUCAUGAUCUACACAUUCUUUUAAUCAAUCUUUGUACAUAACUUGUCAAAUUUGGAGUUCUUACUCCUAUAAAGAUUGUUGGAGUACGAGCCUACUAGGAACCUGAUAGGUCUCCAACGUAUCUAUAAUUUUUGAUUGUUCUAUGCUAUUAUAUUAUCUAUCUUGGAUGUUUUAUUUGCAUUAAUAUACUAUUUAUAUCAUUUUUUGGGACUAACCUAUUAACCUAGUGCCCAGUGAUAGUUGCUAUUUUUUUCCUUAUUUUUGUCUUCUACAGAAAAUCAAUACCAAACGGACCGAAACUUUUUGAGAAUUCUUCUUCGACCAGAAGACAACCAUGAAGCUUCGGUAGGAGGCCAGAGGGGCCACGAGAGAGCCACAAGCUCGUAGGGCGCGCCCUAGGGGGGGGGGUGCCCCGGGCUUGUGGGCCCCUCGGGACUCCCCUAACCCUAAUUCUAGCUCCAUUAAUAUAUACCCAAAUAUUCCUCGUAUACCAGAGGGCGCACCAAAAAUACUUUUUCGCCACCGCAAGCUUCUGUUCUCAUGAGAUCCCAUCUAGGGGCCUUUUCUUCCACUCUAUCAGAGGGGGAUUCGAUCGGAGGGCCUCUACACCAACCUUGCUGCCCUACGGAUGAUGUGUGAGUAGUUUACCACAGACCUACGGGUCCAUGACGAGUAGCUAGAUGGCUUCUUCUCUCUCUUUGAUCUUCAAUACUAUGUUCUCCUCGAUGUUCUUGUAGUUCUAUUUGAUGUAAUGUUCUUUUGCAGUGUGUUUGUUGAGAUACGAUGAAUUGUGGAUUUAUGAUCAGAUUAUCUAUGAAUACUAUUUGAGUCUUCUCUAAACUCUUUUAUGCAUGAUUAAUAUAUGUAACACCCCGGAUGUAACUUUCCCAAUUUGUACUCCAACUCUUGCCGUUUCCGGCGUUAAGUUAUUUUAUUUUCUCGGGUUCGGGUUUUUGUCUCCGUGUGUUGUAUCGUUGUCAUGCAUCUCAUAUCAUGUCAUCAUGUGCAUUGCAUUUGCAUACGUGUUCAUCUCAUGCAUUCGAACAUUUUCCCUGUUGUCCGUUUUGCAUUCCGGCGCUUCGUUGUCCUCCGGUGGUCAUUUCUACCUUUCUUUCGUGUGUGGGGAUUAAACAUUUCCGGAUUGGACCGAGACUUGUCAUGCGGCCUGGGUUUACUACCAGUAGACCGCCUGUCAAGUUUCGUAUCAUUUGGACUUCGUUUGAUACUCCAACGAUCAACCGAUGGAUCGAAAAGGCCUCGUGUGUGUUGCAGCCCAACACCCCUCCAUUUUGGCCCAAAACCCACCAAAACCCUCUCCAUCAUCUAGAGCGUUCGAUCACGAUCGCGUGGCCGAAAACCGCACCUCAUUUGGACUCUCCUAGCUCCUACCUAUAAAAAGCAUCCCCUCUCAAAAUUCGCGGAUCUCCUCUCUCCCAAACCCUAAAAAUCCCCUCGCGCCGUCGCCGGACACGUCCGUCCUGGACGGACAAAUCCACCGCCGCCAUCCGCUCUAACCAGGGCACGCCACAUGGACGUGCGCCCACAUCACCGCCCGCGGCCCGCCGGGCCCGAGGAGAGCCCCCGUGGCCCGGGUCUCCGCCGCCGCCGCCCGACCCUUCUCCUUCCUCCCACGCCACUCGNNNNNNNNNNNNNNNNNNNNNNNNNNNNNNNNNNNNNNNNNNNNNNNNNNNNNNNNNNNNNNNNNNNNNNNNNNNNNNNNNNNNNNNNNNNNNNNNNNNNNNNNNNNNNNNNNNNNNNNNNNNNNNNNNNNNNNNNNNNNNNNNNNNNNNNNNNNNNNNNNNNNNNNNNNNNNNNNNNNNNNNNNNNNNNNNNNNNNNNNNNNNNNNNNNNNNNNNNNNNNNNNNNNNNNNNNNNNNNNNNNNNNNNNNNNNNNNNNNNNNNNNNNNNNNNNNNNNNNNNNNNNNNNNNNNNNNNNNNNNNNNNNNNNNNNNNNNNNNNNNNNNNNNNNNNNNNNNNNNNNNNNNNNNNNNNNNNNNNNNNNNNNNNNNNNNNNNNNNNNNNUCACCGCCCGGAGCCGCCGCGCCACCUCGACGCUGGCGCUCGCCGCCCCGGCCACCGUCGCCUCGGCGCCCGUCCUUGCCGCUGCCCUCACGGCCAGAUCCGGCGACCGCCCCCCCUCUCCGGCAAAGUCCCGUCCGACUCCGGCGAGAUCCGCCACCGCCUCGGCUUCCAUGCACCGUUGACUUUUAUCUCGAGGUGUUUUUUUUUCUUCCAAGUCCUCAAAUCUCAGAUCCAUAUGCUCCUGUUCAUCAUGUCGUAUCUCCUCAUCCAUAGCUCCGAUUUGGGCAUAUAGCAUAUCAAAAUCUUCAUCUCAGAGAGUACAUCAUUUCAUUCCAUUGCAUCAUUUUCAUUUGAGUUCAUCUUGAUGCCUGAAAUGCUGUUAGAAGAGGGCUACUUGAGAUAAUUGUCAGAUCUGCUACUCCAUUUAGAGAUUUGUCAUUUUUGCCAUGAUUAUUGUGUGCAUGAUAUGCCCAUGAGCCCUACAUAUGUUUUGUUAAGGGUUUUACCAUCUUUCCAGAGGUGAAACCCAUUUAUUUUUGUGAUGUGUGUGGUGACCAGCACAAGCUUGCAAAGUGAGGCACUUGGUAAUGCUGAUUUCAGAGACUUAGCAUUUCCACUAAGUCCUUGAGCUGUUUAUCUCAUAUGGCCAUAUGUUCAUGUUGUUUCCUAGUGAUCCGUGCCUCUUUUGAGGGUGAUCAGAAAGGAUGUUUUGUUAAUCUUGUAGUGCUCUAUCCAUCCAUGUCUUUGUUUGCAAUUAUGGAGCACCCUAGCUUGAGUCAAUCGAGCUCUACUUUUGCUACUUCAUGAAUCUGGGCAGAUUGUCUACUUGUUAGCGAUUUUGCCGAGGAUGUUGUAGUUGAUCCGUGCAUGCUAUGCUAUUGUUCUUGCCAUGUCUAGCUUUCAUUUUGUGUAUUCUUGAUGGGUGUUUGCUUAGCUUGUCAUGUCUUGCUCUGUAGUGAGUGCAUCGAGCUCGUAAACAUGCCUACUUGAUAUCUGUUUUCAGCAUGUUCCAAUUUUCACUAAGUCUGAGAACUGAUUAUGUUUUUGCCAUGUUCACAUGCUUGCAAUUGUAUUUUCUGAUCCCUUUUGGCUCAAGGUCACUAAGGGACUUUUGUUAAUCUCUUUGAGUAGCUCCACGCCAUGCUUUACUUUGCCAUGUUCAGGUCCUGUAGCAUGUAGUUUUGUUGCUCCAAAGAGUGCUAUCUGAUCUGAAAUUCCAGACAAGUGUUAAUUUCACUAAGUCUGAAAUCUGUUUACCAUAUGCAUUUUUGCCAUGCUUGUUUGAACCUGUUAAUGGAUGAAUUGGCCAUAGCUCAGUGCUAGACUUUUGUUAAGCAUCAUGAAUGCAUCCCUGCCAUGUAUUUUGUUGCCAUGUUUGGGUGCUGUAGCUUGUUCAUCUCAUUGCAUUUAGAUGACUUGCUGUAAAUCGCAGACCGGUGCCAUAUUUGAAUCGCUUGCCGUUCCCAAACCGUAACUCCGAUUCCGGCGUUCUUUAUAUCAUUUUCAAGCGAUUUCAUCUCAUCUUUCCAGUGGCACACUUGGAUUUCCAAGUUGAGGCCAGGUUCAUGCAUCCCUUGUCAAAUCUUGCAUAUACUUCCCGCAUCGCAUCCCGCAUAGCAUACCAUCUUUGCAUCAUAUUGUUUGACCCUUGCACGUGGUUGAUUGUGUUUCGUUUGCUGUUUGUCUUGUUUGGGUAGAGCCGGGAGACAAGUUCGCUAACGAGGAGCCCGUUGAGUUUGCUUUCGAGGAUCCAGUCAAUCCUGACAACUUUGCAGACAAGAUGAUCAUACCCUCGAAAUCACUACUAUCUUUGCUUUGCUAGAUGCUCGCUCUUUUGCCAUGCCAAUGCUACGAUGCCUACCACUUGCUUUCAAGCCUCCCAAAUUGCCAUGUCAAACCUCUAACCCACCAUGUCCUAGCAAACCGUUGAUUGGCUAUGUUACCGCUUUGCUCAGCCCCUCUUAUAGCGUUGCUAGUUGCAGGUGAAGAUUGGAGACCGUUCCUUGUUGGAACAUUUAUUUACUUGUUGGGAUAUCAUUAUAUUAUCUUGUUACCUUAAUGCAUCUAUAUACUUGGUAAAGGGUGGAAGGCUCGGCCUCUCGCCUAGUGUUUUGUUCCACUCUUGCCGCCCUAGUUUCCGUCAUAUCGGUGUUAUGUUCCCGGAUUUUGCGUUCCUUACGCGGUUGGGUUAUAAUGGGAACCCCUUGAUAGUUCGCCUUGAUUAAAGCUGUUCCAGCAAUGCCCAACCUUGGUUUUACCAUUUGCCACCUAGCCUCUUUUUCCCUUGGGUUUCCGAAGCCCGAGGGUCAUCUUAUUUAAACCCCCGGGCCAGUGCUCCUAUGAGUGUUGGUCCAAACUGUCAGCCGCCGGUGGCUACCAGGGGCAACUCUGGGCUGGCCUACCGGUAGUUUAGACAAUCUGAGUGUGCCUUGAGAAAGAGAUAUGUGCAGCUCCUAUCGGGAUUUGUCGGCACAUUCGGGCGGUGUUGCUGGUCUUGUUUUAACCUGUCGAAGUGUCUUGAAGAACCGAGAUACCGAGUCUGAUCGGAACGUCUUGGGAGGAGGUCUAUUCCUUCGUUGACCAUGAGAGCUUGUCAUGGGCUAAGUUGGGACUCCCCUGCAGGGAUUUGAACUUUCGAAAGCCAUGCCCGCGGUUAUGGGCAGAUGGGAAUUUGUUAAUGUCCGGUUGUAGAUAACUUGAACCUUAAUUUAACUAAAAUGAAUCAACUGAGUGUGUUGCCAUGAUGGCCUCUUCUCGGCGGAGUUCGGGAAGUGGACACGGCAUUGGAGUAAUGUUUGCGCAGGUUGCUCUCUAGUUUCUCGCUCGCGCUUUGCCUCCUCUUCUCGCUCUCUUUUGCGAACAGGAUAGCCACCAUAUAUGCUAGUCGCUUGCUGCAGCUCCACAUAUAUUUACCUUGCCUUACCUAUCAGCUUAAAUAGUAUUGAUCGCGAGGGUGUGAGAUUGCUGAGUCCCUGUGGCUCACAGAUUACUAUUACACCAGAUGCAGGGCCUGAUGAUUCCGCUCCAGGUGACGCGCUUGAGCUCAAGUGGGAGUUCGACGAAGACUCUCAACAUUACUAUGUUUCUUUUCCCGAUGAUCAGUAGUGGUGCCCAGUUGGGGGUGAUCGGGACCGUGUCGCAUGUUGGGUUAUCUUUUAUUUUGGCGCCGUAGUCAGGCCAUGAGUGUUUGGGUGAUGUAAUGUUAUGUAUGUACUUGAUUGACGUGGCGAGUGUAAGCCAACUAUGUUAUCUCCCCUUUUAUUAUCUUUAUUACAUGGGAUGUUGUGAAGAUUGCCUAACUUGCGACAUAUGCCUUCAAUGCGAUUAUGCCUCUAAGUCGUGCCUCGACACGUGGGAGAUAUAGUCGCAUCGAGGGUGAUACAAGUUGGUAAUCAGAGCCUUCCCCGACCUUAGGAGCCCCAUUGCUUGAUCAUUUUUAGCAGCCGAGUUGUGUCUAGAAAAAUGUUUUGAGUCAUUUAGGAAUUAUAUAUCGGAGAGUUUAGGAAUUAUUUUUACUUCCCAGUCUCCUCAUCGCUCUGGUAAGGCAUCCUGACAUAGAGUUUUGACUCUUCUCUUCUCAAAUUUCACUAAAUUUUUUUAGGAUCACGCAGGUAUCUUGGAAUCGUUCUGAUGGUUUUAUGACGAGAACAUUGUCUUGGUGCCUCCUGUCAGGGGUUUUGUGGAAGUGUCCCGAGGAGUUGAGCUCUGAGAUAUUGUCGUCAUAAUUUUAUCGUUGCAGUUCUGGAAUACCUGAGUUUAGUACGCCGACAUCGAAAAUCUCUUUUAUGCAGUUCGUUGGUGAGAUAACCUCGAUGCCACCCAGUACUGGGGCGGGAGUUCGGGAGUAUCACCAUAACUUUGUAUAACAUAUGCUUUUCGAAGGUUGAGGUAGAUGGUUUCCGAAGUUUUUCUCGGUUAUGUGUUGAAGGAUGGAUACAGCUGGAUGUAGGAUUUGAUAGAAUUGGGUGAGAUAUUAUGCUUCCCCUGUAUCCCCAACACCUGAUUGCAUAACUGGAAAGGUUCGGGAGUUUCAUAGGUGGGAAUUCUUGUAGCUCUAGUUCUUCUUCCACGGAUAUUGGUUUGAGAUUGGGAUUUCUUACCGAUUAUUCGUUCUUGAUCCGUACCUUGUUGAUUUAUUUCUCUACCUUAAUUCUAAGUGGCUUCUCAAUUUAUGGAUAUGUGACCAUUUCAAGAGGAAUGCAUUCGUUCAUUUUGUUCGGAUGUGAAGACUAUAUGUUGCAAUUUUCAUUCCGUUGGAUUCAGCUUCAAUAUUUGUCUAUCAAUGUGCUAAUGGAUGUCAACCUCUUCAGGAUGGCUCCUCCAACGCGCACGACUCCGAAUCCUGAUCCGCCACCACCUCCACCUCCUCCGGAGGCAUGGCAAGCUGUGAUGUCCGCAGCCAAUGCAAACACACAGUUGAUCAUGCAAAUUCUCCAAGAGCGCAAUCAAGGCAACCAAGGGAACCAAGGCAACAAUCAGAAUCACUAUGCUACACUCAACCAGUUCCUUGCUAACGGGCCAAAGUCUUUCAGCAACUGUGUUGAGGCAACCGAUGCUGAGGAUUGGCUUGUGGAUCUGUGCAAGCAUUUCGAGUGCAGUAACGUCAGGCCUGAGGACUUUGUCAAGUUCGCUUCCUUCCAACUCAAAGAUCAAGCUGCAGAAUGGUUCCAGCAGUACAAGGAUUCCAGAGGUGGAUGUGUUAUCACUUGGGAUGAAUUCCGUUGAGAUUUCAGAGCUCAUCAUAUUCCUCAGAGCAUGGUUGAAAGCAAGCAUGAGGAAUUCCGCAACCUGAAGCAAGGAUCUUUGUCUGUCUAUGACUACAACAAGUUGUUCCAGAAGCUCGCCCGUUUUGCUAAGCAGGACGUACCUGAUGAGAAGAGCAUGAUAUACCAGUUCAGGGGUGGUCUCAGAGAAGAAAUUCAGCUAGCUCUUGUUCUCUUUGAGCCCUUGAGGUACGAUGAGUUCUACAACAUGGCAUUGAAGCAAGAGGCCGCUCAAUUGAGGUGUGAUGCUUCCAAGAAGCGAGUCAGAGAUGUUAUUCCUUCUUCCUCUACUCAAGUGGCCAAGCAGCAGAAGUAUUGGCUUCCUCCUCCUCCAUUUCGUUAGCCGUAUCAGCAGAAGAGCAAAGGUGGCAGUGGAUCUUCCCACCCACCCAACCUUGGAUUUCAGAACAAGACUUCGUCUCAAGCUCCAAGAUCGAGUGCUCCGUAUCACCGUCCGCUUUCAGAGGUCACGUGCAACAAGUGCCAACAGAAGGGUCACUAUGCCAACAAGUGUUUCAACUAGAGGCGUCUUCCUCCUCCUCCUCCUGUGAGAUCGGCAAGUACAGCUAUGGUCAAGCAUAACCCCAAGUACGCCAAGGUCAAUAUGGUGAAUGCAGCUCAGGCAGAUGAUUCAUCAGAUGUCAUCAUGGGUAACCUUUCUGUUAACAAUGUUCCUGCAAGAGUUCUUUUUGACAUUGGUGCAUCGCAUUGUUUUAUCUCGAGUCCUUUUGCAUCUAAGCAUGGGUGGUUUUCUCAAGUUAUGCAUAAGCCAUUAGCAGUUGUCUCUCCGGGUAGAUGCUUGCUUGCUAACUACGAAGUUCCGGAUAUUUAUAUCUCGAUGGGUGAUUUCAAGUUUCUGGCUUCUCCAAUGAUCCUUGGUAACUCGGAUAUUGAUCUUAUUCUCGGAAUGGAUUGGCUUUCUAAGCACAAGGCUGUGCUUGAUUGUGCAGCCAGGCUGAUUCAAUUGACUCAUUCAUCUGAGGAUGUAAUUGUCUUUGCUGCUCGGGAUAAUACUAUCCGUCUGUUUUCUCUCAAUAAGAAGGGUGAACUCGAUGCCAUCUCGCAAAUUCCAGUCGUUUGCGAAUAUCAAGACGUCUUUACAGAAGAGCUUCCAGGAAUGCCUCCUCACUGGCCAGUUGAAUUCGUCAUUGAUCUUGAGCCCGGCACGAAACCUGUGUGCAAAUGUCCUUACAAGAUCGGACCUGAAGAGUUGAAGGAGCUGAAGAAGCAACUCGAUAUUCAUGAGAAAAUGGGUCUCAUCCGGCCUAGUUCUUCUCCGUGGGGUUGUGGUGUACUUUUUGUGAAGAAGAAGGAUGGAACGGACCGACUUUGUGUUGAUUACCGUCCAUUGAACAAGAAGACCAUCAAGAACAAAUACCCACUUCCCAACAUCAAUGAGCUGUUCGAACAACUCAAAGGUGCCCAAGUAUUCUCCAAGCUUGAUCUCCGUAUGGGUUAUCAUCAGAUUCGAAUCCGUGAGCAAGAUAUUCCCAAGAUGGCUUUCAGGACAAGCUAUGGUUCAUAUGAAUACACUGUCAUGUCUUUUGGCCUCGUCAACGCUCCUCCGACUUUCUCUCGUGUGAUGAACUUCAUCUUCAACGCCUACACCAAUGACUUCGUUUUGGUCUAUCUCGACGACAUUCUGGUUUUCUCGAAGAACAAGGAAGAUCAUGCCAAGCACUUGCGUUUGGUACUCGAUAAGCUGAGGGAACACAAGUUCUACGCCAAGUUCUCCAAUUGUGAAUUUUGGCUCGAUGAGGUUCUUUAUCUUGGUCAUAUCAUCUCUGCCAAGGGCAUGGCCGUGAAUCCUGAGAAGGUGUCUGCAAUUGUGAAUUGGGAACCUCCUCAGAACGUGAAGCAACUCCGUAGCUUCCUCGGUCUCACAAGCUGUUGUCGAAGAUUCGUUGAAAACUUUUCCAAGAUCGUGAAGCCUCUCUCUAAUCUUCUCCAGAAGCACGUCAAGUACGUUUGGUCUCCGGAGUGUGACAUUGCUUUCAACACUUUGAAAGAGAAAUUGAUCACUGCUCCAAUUCUCACUCCGCCUGAUGAAUCCAAGCCGUACGAGGUCUUUUGUGAUGCCUCUCUCCAAGGUCUUGGCGCAGUAUUGAUGCAAGAGAAGAAAGUUGUUGCUUAUACCUCUCGCCAGUUGAAGCCUAAUGAGAAGAACUACCCCACUCAUGAUCUCAUAAGAGUCUCAAGUACAUCUUCACUCAGCCUAAUCUCAACCUCAGGGUAACUCGAUGGGUCGAAAUGAUUCAAGAGUAUAAUCCGAGUAUCGAGUAUACACCAGGCAAGGCCAAUGUGAUUGCCGACGCAUUGAGCAGAAAGGCUUACUGCAACAGUCUGAUUCUCAAGCCUUAUCAACCCGAGCUUUGUGAAGCUUUCCGCAAACUUAAUCUGCAAGUUGUUCCUCAAGGUUUCCUCACCAACCUUCAAGUCUCUCCUACCUUGGAAGACCAGAUUCGCCAAGCCCAGCUUCUUGAUGCUAUGGUGAAAAAGGUGAAGAUUGGGAUUGUCAAGAGUCAACCCAAGUACAAGUGCUACCACCUUGAUGACAAGGACACUCUCUUCUUCGAGGAUCGUAUUGUUGUACCCAAAGGUGACCUCGGUAAAGUGAUCAUGAACGAGGCUCACAAUUCCCUCCUCUCCAUCCACCCUGGGAGCACGAAGAUGUAUCAGGACCUUAAGCAGGCUUAUUGGUGGACUCGAAUGAAGCGCGAGAUUGCUCAGUUCGUGAAUGAAUGUGAUGUCUGCAGAAGAGUGAAGGCAGAACACCAAAGGCCAGCAGGUCUCCUCCAACCUCUUGUCAUUCCAGAAUGGAAGUUUGACCACAUUGAAAUGGACUUCGUGACUGGGUUUCCAAAGUCCAGGCGUGGAAAUGAUGCUAUAUUUGUUGUCAUCGACAAACUCACUAAAGUGGCUCAUUUUCUGCCUAUCAAAGAGUCGAUCACUGCAGCUCAAUUGGCGGAACUCUAUACCUCUCGGAUUGUCUCUCUGCACGGUAUUCCACAAGUGAUCUCUUCAGACCGUGGCAGUAUCUUUACAUCCAAGUUUUGGGUUUCUUUUCAGAAGGCCAUGGGCACCAACAUCCGCUUCAGCACAACUUUCCAUCCUCAAACUAGCGGUCAAGUCGAGUGUGUCAACCAGAUUCUUGAAGAUAUGCUCAGGGCUUGUGUGAUCUCCUUUGGCAUGAAGUGGGAGGACUGUCUUCCUUAUGCUGAAUUCUCCUACAACAACAGUUUUCAAGCAAGUUCGGGCAAGGCCCCAUUUGAAAUUCUGUAUGGCAGGAAGUGCCGUACCCCUCUCAACUGGUCUAAAACCGGCGAAUGUCAGCUUUUGGGUAAUGACUUAAUCAUAGAGGCAGAGGAAAUGUGCAAAGUCAUUCGAAAUAACCUCAAAGCAUCCCAAUCCCGCCAGAAGAGCUACUAUGAUAGUAAGCACCAUGAUUUGGCUUUCGAGAUCGGAGAUCAUGUGUACCUCCACGUCUCUCCUAUGAAAGUUACUCGUCGCUUCGGUAUCAAAGGCAAGCUUGCCCCCAGAUACGUGGGACCUUUCAAGAUUGUCAGCAAGAGAGGCGACCUCGCCUAUCAACUCGAGCUUCCUUCAAACUUUGCAAAUGUUCAUGAUGUGUUCCAUGUCUCUCAGCUCCGAAAGUGCUUCAAGACUCCUGACCGCACCGUCAACUUCGAGGACAUUGAGCUCCAGGAAGAUCUCUCUUAUCGUGAGCACCCAGUUGCUAUUCUUGAAGAGACUGAACACAAGACUCGCAAUAAGUCAAUCAAAUUUCUCAAAGUCAAGUGGUCACACCAUUCCGACCAUGAAGCUACCUGGGAACGCGAGGAUCACCUCCGUUCUAAGUACCCGGCGUUCUUUCAGUCCUAGAUCUCGGGACGAGAUCCUUUCGUAGUGGUGGAGUGCUGUAACACCCCGGAUGUAACUUUCCCAAUUUGUACUCCAACUCUUGCCGUUUCCGGCGUUAAGUUAUUUUAUUUUCUCGGGUUCGGGUUUUUGUCUCCGUGUGUUGUGUCGUUGUCAUGCAUCUCAUAUCAUGUCAUCAUGUGCAUUCGUGUUCAUCUCAUGCAUUCGAACAUUUUUCCCGUUGUUCGUUUUGCAUUCCGGCGCUUCGUUCUCUUCCGGUGGUCAUUUCUACCUUUCUUUCGUGUGUGGGGAUUAAACAUUUCCGGAUUGGAUCGAGACUUGUCAUGCGGCCUGGGUUUACUACCGGUAGACCGACUGUCAAGGUUCGUAUCAUUUGGACUUCGUUUGAUACUCCAACGGUCAACCGAGGGACCGAAAAGGCCUCGUGUGUGUUGCAGCCCAACACCCCUCCAUUUUGGCCCAAAACCCACCAAAACCCUCUCCAUCAUCUAGAGCAUUCCAUCACGAUCGCGUGGCCGAAAACCGCACCUCAUUUGGACUCUCCUAGCUCCUUCUACCUAUAAAAAGGCAUCCCCUCUCGAAAUUCGCGGAUCUCCUCUCUCCCAAACCCUAAAAAUCCCCUCGCGCCGCCGCUGGACACGUCCAUCCUGGACGGACAAAUCCGCCGCCGCCGUCCGCGCCAACCGAGGAGAGCCCCCGUGGCCCGGGUCUCCGCCGCCGCCGCCCGACCCUUCUCCUUCCUCCCGCGCCGCUCGCCGGCUCCCCGCCGUCACCGCGCCGGCGCCGCGCCUUCAUAGCUCCGCCGCCUCGCCAUCACCACCCGGAGCCGCCGCGCCACCUCGACGCCGGCCCUCGCCGCCCCGGUCACCGUCGCCUCGGCGCCCGUCCUCGCCGCUGCCCCCAUGGCCAGAUCCGGCGACCGCCCCCCCUCUCCGACGAAGUCCCGGCCGACUCCGGCGAGAUCAGCCACCGCCUCGGCUUCCGUGCACCGUUGACUUUUAUCUCGAGGUGGUUUUUUUUCUUCUAAGUCCUCAAAUCUCAGAUCCAUAUGCUCCUAUUCAUCGUGUCGUAUCUCCUCAUCCGUAGAUCCGAUUUGGGCAUAUAGCAUAUCAAAAUGUUCAUCUCAGAGAGUACAUCAUUUCAUUCCAUUGCAUCAUUUUCAUCUGAGUUCAUCUUGAUGCCCGGAAUGCUGUUAGAAGAGGGCUACUUGAGAUAAUUGUCAGAUCUACUACUCCAUUUAGAGAUUUGUCAUUUUUGCCAUGAUUAUUGUGUGCAUGAUAUGCCCAUGAGCCCUACAUAUGUUUUGUUAAGGGUUUUACCAUAUUUCCAGAGGUGCAACCCAUGUAUUUUUGUGAUGUGUGUGGUGACCAGCACAAGCUUGCAAAGUGAGGCACUUGGUAAUGCUGAUUUCAGAGACUUAGCAUUUCCACUAAGUCCUUGAGCUAUUUAUCUCAUAUGGCCAUAUGUUCAUGUUGUUUCCUAGUGAUCCGUGCCUCUUUUGAGGGUGAUCAGUAAGGAUGUUUUUUUAAUAUUGUAGUGCUCUAUCCAUCCAUGUCUUUUUUUGCAAUUAUGGAGCACCCUAGCUUGAGUCAAUCGAGCUCUACUUUUGCUACUUCAUGAAUCUGGGCAGACUGUCUACUUGUUAGCGAUUUUGUUGAGGAUGUUGUAGUUGAUCCGUGCAUGCUAUGCUAUUGUUCUUGCCAUGUAUAGCUUGCAUUUUGUGUAUUCUUGAUGGGUGUUUGCUUAGCUUGUCAUGUCUUGCUCUGUAGUUAGUGCAUCGAGCUCGUAAACAUGCCUACUUGAUAUCUGUUUUCUAGUGAUCCGUGCCUCUUUUGAGGAUGAUCAGUAAGGAUGUUUUGUUAAUCUUAUAGUGCUCUAUCCAUCCAUGUCUUUGUUUGCAAUUAUGAAGCACCCUAGCUUGAGUCAAUCGAGCUCUAUUUUUGCUAUUUCGUGAAUCUGGGCAGACUGUCUACUUGUUAGCGAUUUUGCCGAGGAUGUUGUAGUUGUUCCGUGCAUGCUAUGUUAUUGUUCUUGCCAUGUCUAGCUUGAAUUUUGUGUAUUCUUGAUGGAUGUAUGCUUAGUUUGUCAUGACUUGCUCUGUGGUGAGUGCAUCGAGCUCGUAAACAUGCCUACUUGAUAUCUAUUUCAGCAUGCUCCAGUUUUCACUAAGUCUGAGAACUGAUUGUGUUUUUGCCAUGUUCACAUGCUUGCAAUUGUAUUUUCUGAUCCCUUUUGGCUUAAGGUCACUAAGGGACUUUUGUUAAGUUCUUUGAGUAGCUCCAUGCCAUGCUUUACUUUGCCAUGUUCAGGUCCUGUAGCAUGUAGUUUUGUUGCUCCAAAGAGUGCUAUCUGAUCUGAAAUUCCAGACAAGUGUUAAUUUCACUAAGUCUGAAAUCUGUUUACCAUAUGCAUUUUUGCCAUGCUUGUUUGAACCUGUUAAUGGAUGAAUUGGCCAUAGCUCAGUGCUAGACUUUUCUUAAGCAUCAUGAAUGCAUCCCUGCCAUGUAUUUUGUUGCCUUGUUUGGGUGCUGUAGCUUGUUCAUCUCAUUGAAUUUAGAUGACUACUUGCUGUAAAUCGCAGACCGGUGCCAUAUUUGAAUCGCUUGCCGUUCCCAAACCGUAACUCCGAUUCCGGCGUUCUUUAUAUCGUUUUCAAGCAAUUUCAUCUCAUCUUUCCAUUGGCACACUUGGAUUUCCAAGUUGAGGCCAGGUUCAUGCAUCCCUUGUCAAAUCUUGCAUAUGCUUCCCGCAUCGCAUCCCGCAUAGCAUACCAUCUUUGCAUCAUAUUGUUUAAUCCUUGCACGUGGUUGAUUGUGUUCCGUUUUCUGUUGGUCUUGCUUGGGUAGAGCCGGGAGACGAGUUCUCUAAUGAUGAGCCCGUUGAGUUUGCUUUCGAGGAUCCAGUCAACUCUGACAACUUUGCAGGCAAGAUGAUCAUACCCUCGAAAUCACUACUAUCUUUGCUUUGCUAGAUGCUCGCUCUUUUGCCAUGCCAAUGCUAGGAUGCCUACCACUUGCUUUCAAGCCUCCCAAAUUGCCACGUCAAACCUCUAACCCACCAUGUCCUAGCAAACCGUUGAUUGGCUAUGUUACCGCUUUUCUCAGCCCCUCUUAUAGCAUUGCUAGUUGCAGGUGAAGAUUGGAGACCGUUCCUUGUUGGAACAUUUAUUUACUUGUUGGGAUAUCAUUAUAUUAUCUUGUUACCUUAAUGCAUCUAUGUACUUGGUAAAGGGUGGAAGGCUCAGCCUCUCGCCUAGUGUUUUGUUCCACUCUUGCCGCCCUAGUUUCCGUCAUAUCGGUGUUAUGUUCCCGGAUUUUGCGUUCCUUACGCGGUUGGGUUAUAAUGGGAACCCCUUGAUAGUUCGCCUUGAUUAAAGCUUUUCCAGCAAUGCCCAACCUUGGUUUUACCAUUUGCCACCUAGCCUCUUUUUCCCUUGGGUUUCGGGAGCCCGAGGGUCAUCUUAUUUAAACCCCCCCGGGCCAGUGCUCCUCUGAGUGUUGGUCCAAACUGUCAGCCGCCGGUGGCUACCAGGGGCAACUCUGGGCUGGCCUACCGGAAGUUUAGACAAUCUGAGUGUGCCCUGAGAAAGAGAUAUGUGCAGCUCCUAUCGGGAUUUGUCGGCACAUUCGGGCGGUGUUGCUGGUCUUGUUUUAACCUGUCGAAGUGUCUUGAAGAACUGAGAUACCGAGUCUGAUCGGAACGUCUUGGGAGGAGGUCUAUUCCUUCGUUGACCGUGAGAGCUUGUCAUGGGCUAAGUUGGGACUCUCCUGCAGGGAUUUGAACUUUCAAAAGCCGUGCCCGCGGUUAUGGGCAGAUGGGAAUUUGUUAAUGUCCGGUUGUAGAUAACUUGAACCUUAAUUUAACUAAAAUGAAUCAAUUGAGUGUGUUGCCGUGAUGGCCUCUUCUCGGCGGAGUUCGGGAAGUGGACAUGGUGUUGGAGUAAUGUUUGCGCAGGUUGCUCUCUAGUUUCUCGCUCGCGCUUUGCCUCCUCUUCUCGCUCUCUUUUGCGAACAGGAUAGCCACCAUAUAUGCUAGUCGCUUGCUGCAGCUCCACAUAUAUUUACCUUGCCUUACCUAUCGGCUUAAAUAGUCUUGAUCGCGAGGGUGCGAGAUUGCUGAGUCCCUGUGGCUCACAUAUUACUAUUACACCAGAUGCAGGGCCUGAUGAUUCCGCUCUAGGUGACGCGCUUGAGCUCAAGUGGGAGUUCGACAAAGACUCUCAACGUUACUAUGUUUCUUUUCUUGAUGAUCAGUAGUGGUGCCCAGUUGGGGGUGAUCGGGACCGUGUCGCAUGUUGGGUUAUCUUUUAUUUUGGCGCCGUAGUCGGGCCAUGAGUGUUUGGGUGAUGUAAUGUUAUUUAUGUACUUUAUUGACGUGGCGAGUGUAAGCCAACUAUGUUAUCUCCCCUUUUAUUAUCUUUAUCACAUGGGAUGUUGUGAAGAUUGCCUAACUUGCGACAUAUGCCUUCAAUGCGAUUAUGCCUCUAAGUCGUGCCUCGAUACGUGGGAGAUAUAGUCGCAUCGAGGGUGUUACAAUAUAGCUUUGUAUUUAUCUCCGAUCUAUUGAUUUGGUUUGGCCAACUAGAUUGAUCUUUCUUGCAAUGGGAGAGGUGCUUUGUGAUGGGUUCAAUCUUGCAGUGUCCUCACACAGUGACAAUAGGGGUAGCGAGGCAUAUAUUAUAUUUUUGCCAUUAGGGAUACAAAGAUGGAGUUUUUUUACCAUAUUGAUUGUAUCUAUCUACUUCAUGUCAUCUUGCUUAAGGCGUUACCACAUUUUUGUUAACUUAAUACACUAUAUGCAUGCUGAAUAGCGGUCAAUGUGUGGAGUAAUAGUAGUAGAUGCAGGCAGGAGUCAGUCUACUUGUCACGCACGUGGUGCCUAUAUUCAUGAUCAUUGCCUUAGAUAUCAUCAUAACUUUGCGCUUUUCUAUCAAUUGCUCAACAAUAAUUUGUUCACCUACCGUAUGUGUUCUUUCAAGAGAGAAGCCUCUAGUGAAAACCAUGGCCCUUGGGUCUAUUUCUCAUCAUACAUUUUCAGAUUUAUAAAACCAAAAAUACAAAAAUACCUUGCUGCAAUUUAUUUACCUUUACUUUAUUUUGCCUUUUUAUUUAUCUUUUAUACCUAUCUCUAUCAGAUCUCAUCCUUGCAAGUAACCGUGAAGGGAUCGACAACACCUUUAUCGCGUUGGGUGCAAGUAUUUGUUUGUUUGUGUAUGUGCUAUUAUCAGAGACUUGCGUGUACCUCCUACCGGAUUGAUAUCUCAGUUCUUAACUGAGGGAAAUACUUAUCUCUACUUUGCUGCAUCACCCUUUCCUCUUCAAGGGAAAAACCAAUGCAAACUCAAGAAGUAGCAGGAAGAAUUUCUGGCGCUGUUUCAGGGGAGGUUCUACAUCAAGCCUACCAAGUACCUACCAUAAACUCUCAUCUCUUGCACUUACAUUAUUUGCCAUUUGCCUCUCAUUUGCCUCUCGUUUUCCUCCCCCACUUCUAAAACAUUUUUAGAGAAACACAAAAAUAUUUGCCUUUUUCGUUUGCCUUUAUGUCUUACUUGGUUUGUUUGCUCGUUUGCUUGGCAUAAUUGCAUAUUUAUUCCAAAUUAGAAACCAAAAAGUUUAUGGAUUCUCAUCCACUUGCUAAUAUUUUUAAAAGAUCCAAUUAUGAUGAAUCAAUUGCUAGUGAGUUGAGUGCACUAGAUUAUCUUUAUGAAUUUUUUCUUGAAAUUCGUGAAUUUGAAAAUUGUGAUGAAGUGUUAAAAGAAGAAAUUUAUGAAGUGAUUCAUGAUAGCUCCUUGAAAGAAAAGCAUGAUUGCAAUGAUGUUACUAUAAAUUCUAUUAAUGUCAAUUGUGCUAAUAAUAUGCAAAACCCCAAGCUUGGGGAUGCUAGUUUUGCUAUGUCCGCUACUUAUUGCAAUGAUCAUGAUUGGGGUGAUAAUGCUUCUUAUGAUCUUGAAAUUUUAUUUAAACCUCAUGAUGAAUAUGUUUGCGAUAAUAUUGAAAGUGGGUUUGGAAGAGUGUAAACUCUAGGUAAAAUAAUCCCACAUAUUUGGAGAGUGUUCAGUCUUAUGAUAUUUUUGAUAAAAGUGGGCUUGGAGAGGUCAUGCCUCUAUUUGAUAAUCCCACUAUUGUGGAAGUGUGUCAACUUUGCAUGCAUGUGGAUCAUGUAGAGAAUAUGAUAUGUGAUAGCUAUAUUGUUGAAUUUGAAUAUGAUCCCACAUGUAAUUAUUAUGAGAGAGAGAAAUAUGGUUGUAGAAAUUUUCAUGUUACUAAGUUACCUCUUGUUAUGUUGAGAUUUCUCAUGUUUCUUUCUUCUUCUUGCAUAUGCUAGUUUUUGCUUGUCUUGAUAAAUAUGUUCCCUAUAAAAUGCCUAUUCAUAGGAAGUAUGUUAUACUUAAACUUGUUUUUCACAUACUAUAUGAUGCUCUAUUUGUGCUUCAGUUUUUGUCUUUCAUAUGGGCAUCAUUAAAAUUAUCAACACCUAGCUAAAAGGCUUUAAAGAAAAGUGCUUUCUUUUUUGUUUUUAUGUGUUUAUGCAAUUAUACUUCUGUAAUAAUUGUGUGUUAGUGUUUUAAUUAGUGUUUGAGCCAAGUAAGACCUUUGGGAUACUUUGGUAUAUCGUUGAUUUGAUUUUGCUGAAAACAAGCACUUUUGCGUCCAGUAGCAGAAUUGUUAAAAUUCACUAGAGCAUGGAAAAACUCUGAAUUAUUUACACAAGAUUGACAUAUGAAUUUCCUAUUUUCUCCCAAUUUUUCAGAAGUUUUGGAGUUACAGAAGUAUGACUAUAAUUCUGGUCUUUACAGUCUGUUCUGUUUUUGCUUUAUUGUUUGCUUAUUUUGAUGAAUCUUCAGGUAGUAUCGGGGGGGGGGGGGUAUGAACCAUGGAAGUUAGAAUAUAGUAGAUAUUAUAGAAAUAUGAUAUUGGAAUGAGUUCACAACAGUACUUAAAAGUGGAGAUUUGUUUUAUCAUACUAACGGAUCUCAUGAGUUUUUUGUUGAGUUUUGUGUUGUGAAGUUUCCAAGUUUUGGGUAAAGAUUUGACGGACUACAAAAUAAGGAGUGGCAAGAGCCUAAGCUUGGGGAUGCCCAACGCACCCCAUGGAAAUACUCAAGGACAACCAAGCAUCUAAGCAUGGGGAUGCCCCGGAUGGCAUCCCCCCUUUUGUCUUCAAUCCAUGAGUAAAUUACUUGAGGCUAUAUUUUUAUUCACCACAUGAUAUGUGUUUUGCUUGAAGCAUCUUGUAUUAUACGAUUCUUUGCUUUUUAAUUUUCCACAAUCAUCCUUGCUGAACACACCUUUUGAGAGGGACACACAUUAAUCAUGAACUUAUUAGAAUACUCUACGUGCUUCACUUAUAUCUUUUGAGCUAGGUAGUUGCUCUAGUGCUUCACUUAUAUCUUUUUAGAGCAUGGCGGUGGUUUUAUUUUGUAGAAAUUAAUGAACUCUCAUGCUUCACUUAUAUUAUUUUGAGAGUCUUAAACAUAGUAUGGAAAUUUGCUUAGGUUAUGAAUUUAGUCCUAAUAUGAUGGGUAUCCAAGAGGGAUAUAAUAAAAACUUUUACGAAGAGCAUUGAAUAUAUGAGAAGUUUGAUUCCUUCCAUUUGUUUUGAGAUAUAAAGAUGGUGAUAUUAGAGUCAUGCUAGGGAGUAAUUUUGGAUUAGUAAGAAUAUUUGUGUUAAGGUUUGUGAUUCCCAAAGCAUGCACGUAUGGUCUCCCGUGAUGCAAUGAAGUUAGAGCAUGAUUUAUUUUUGAUUGUCUUCCAUAUGAGUGGCAGUCGGGGAAGAGCGAUGGUCUUUUCCCACUGAUCUAUCCCCCUAGGAGCAUGCGUAUUAGUACUUUGCUUCGAUGGCUAAUAAAUGCAAUAAGUAUGUGAGUACUUUAUGACUAAUGUUGAGUCCAUGGAUUAUACACACUCUCACCCUUCCAGCAUUGCUAGCCUCUCUAGUAUCGCACAACUUUCGCCGAUGCAUUAAACCCACCGUAUACCUUCCUCAAAAUGGCCACCAUACCUACCUAUUCUGGCAUUCCCAUAGUCAUUCCAGGAUAUAUUUGCCAUGCAACUUCCAUCAUUCCGUUUAUUAUGACAUGCACCAUCAUUGUCAGAUUGCUUUGCAUGAUCGUAAGAUAGCUAGCAUGAUAUUUUCAUAGCUUGUCCAUUUUUUGUAUAUCUUUGCUACGCUAGAUCAUUGCACAUCCCGGUACACUGCCGGAGGCAUUCACAUAGAGUCAUAUACUUGUUCUAGUACCGAGUUGUAAUUCUUGAGUUGUAAGUAAAUAAAAGUGUGAUGAUCAUCAUUAUUAGAGCAUUGUCCCAUGUGAGGAAAGGAUGAUGGAGGCUAUGAUUCCUUCACAAGUUCGGAUGAGACUCCGGACACAAAAUUAAGAAAAGAGGGCAAAGAGCCCAAAAUAAAAAAAUAGGCCAAAGAGCCCCCAUGUAACGCCCUCGAUGCGGCUAUAUCUCCCACAUGUCGAAGCACGACUUAGAGGCAUAACCGCAUUGAAAGCAAUGUCGCAAGUGAGGUAAUCUUCACACAACCCAUGUAAUACAUAAGGGAAAAAGAUACAUAGUUGGCUUACAAUCGCCACUUCACACAAAUACAUGAAUAAAGCAUUACAUCAUCCAAAUACAAUCAGGGCCCGACUACGGAGCCAAAAUAAAAGAAGACUACCCCAAAAGCGACAAGGUCCCCGAUCGACCCCAACUGGGCUCCACUACUGAUCAACUAGAACGAAACAACACAAAGGACAAGAUCUUCACCGAGCUCCUCCAUGAGCUUGGUUGCGUCAUCUGCACGGUUCAAUGGCAUCUGCAAGCUGGUUUUGGAAGUAUCUGUGAGUCACGGGGACUCAGCAAUCUCGCACCCUCGCGAUCAAGACUAUUUAAGCUUAUAGGAAGGGUAAAAGGUAUGAGGUGGAGCUGCAGCAAGCGACUAGCAUAUAUGGUGGCUAACAUAUACGCAAAAGAGAGCGAGAAGAGAAGGUAAAGCACGAUCGAGAAACUAUGAUCAAGAAGUGAUCCUAGAACAACUUACGUCAAACAUAACUCCAACACCGUGUCACUUCCCGGACUCCACCGGAAAGAGACCAUCACGGUUACACACGCGGUUGAUGUAUUUUAAUUAAGGUCAACUUCAGGUUUUCUACAACCGGACGUUAACAAAUUCCCAUUUGCCCAUAACCACGGGCACAACUUUCAAAAGUUCAAAUCCCUGCAGGGGUGUCCCAACUUAGCCCAUCACAAGCUCUCACGGUCAACGAAGGAUAUUCCUUCUAGCGGGAAGACCCGAUCAGACUCGGAAUCCCGGUUACAAGACAUUUCGACAAUGAUAAAACAAGACCAGCAAAGCCACCCAGAUGUGCCGACAAAUCCCGAUAGGAGCUGCACAUAUCUUGUUCUCAGGGCACACCGGAUGAGCCAGACGUCGGGUGGGCCAGCCCGGAGUUGCCCCUGGUAGCUCCGGACAUCGCUCAGUUGGACCAACACUUAGAGAAGCACUGGCCCGGGGGGUUAAAAUAAAGAUGACCCUCGGGAUGUGCGACUCCCAAGGGAAAAAGGCUAGGUGGCGAAUGGUAAAACCAAUGUUGGGCCUUGCUGGAGGAGUUUUAUUCAAGGCAAACUGUCAAGGGGUUCCCAUUAUUACCCAACCGCGUAAGGAACGCAAAAUCCGGGAACAUAACACCGAUAUGAUGGAAACUAGGGCGGCAAGAGUGGAACAAAACACCAGGCAUAAGGCCGAGCCUUCCACCCUUUACCAAGUAUAUAGAUGCAUUAAUUAAAUAAGAUAUAUUGUGAUAUCCCAACAAGUAAACAAUGUUCCAACAAGGAACGAUCUCCAUAUUCCAACAAGGAACAAACUUCAAUCUUCACCUGCAACUAACAACGCUAUAAGAGGGGCUGAGCAAAGUGGUAACAUAGCCAAACAACGGUUUGCUAGGACAAGGUGGGUUAGAGGCUUGGUUCAACAAUAUGGGAGGCAUGAUAAGCAAGUGGUAGGUAUCGCAGCAUAGGCAUAGCAAAAGAGCGAGCAACUAGCAAGCAAAGAUAGAAGUGAUUUCGAGGGUAUGAUCAUCUUGCCUGAGAUCCCGCAAGGAAGAAGAACGAGUCCAUGAAGAAGACAGACGGACGAAGUCGAACGAAUCCUCACAACACGACAUUAUCAGAAAACAACCCGAAGAAGCAACACCGGAAAGAAGCACACAACAUAGUAAACAACCAACACAUCAACAUGGCAUGAUGCACAAUCGAGUAUGAUGCAUGUCCGGUUUAAUGAAGCAUGGCAUGGCAAAGUGCACAAACAAUACUACAAAUUAAUUGGAGCUCAUUAUGCAGCGGAGUUACAUAUUGAAGAAAACACCACAUGACUUAUUUAGUUCUCUCUCGUUUAUGUACCCAUCAAGAUUAAAUGUUGUUAGCAUGGCAAGAGGGUGAAGCAAAUGAAAACUACCUAUCUAGUCAAGUUUAAAUGAGGCCAGAAACAACGAACAACAAUUCUGGAAACUCCUCAUAUGAAUAUAUUAGGUUUGGUACUGUUCUUCCCUAAACAUAAUUUUAGAGUUGUUAAGCAUGCAAAGUGAAGCCACCAUGUUAAACUAGGCAAAAUUCUACCCCAUUUACAUAUAAAGUUUGUUAGAUUCGGAGUUACGGUUAUUUAGUUAUGAAUUAAAGCAUUUUAGCAUGACAUAGGAGCAAAUUUAAACAAACAACAUUUUAAACAUUUUAAACAUGGAUGAAAAUGACAUAUUAUGAAACUAGACACAAUUCUAAGCAAGUUUCAUAUAUAAAAUGUUUUAAUCCGAUGCAUGGUUAUUAAGUUAUUAUAUGCAUGAAGUCCAAGGGUUUUUCUGCAAAUCUGUAAAUCCCUGGUAAAUAGACAAAUCGCAGAACCAAGAAAAAAACAUCCACUGGGCCAUAUCUGAGAUAGACCCAAUAGUGCACAGGGGCUAGAAGGGGCUGCUCACAUUGGGCUCUUGGCCUGGUCGGUGCUGGGUUAGCCUGCUGGCGCAGGACGCGGGCUGCUGGGAUGGGCCGACUUGAGCUGGCCUUGAAGGCCGAAGCGGAAGCAGGCCGGCUGGAUCUGGCUGUGGACUUGCGCUAAGGCCACGCGCUGAUCUGGCCCCAGUGAGCGAUUGAGGCGCUCGUCCUCUGCUCGACAGGGAGCAGAGCAGUGGCGACUGCAGGGAGGUGGAGGUCGCCGGCGCGGGUGGACUCCGGUGAGGUGGGGCGGCGACCUGGAGGUGGGGAUGAGGCUGGGAUCAUAGGGAGGUGCUGGUUGCUGCUAUUCCGGCGGGCAACGGCUUUCAGUCGACGAGGAGGAGGCCAUGAAGACGAUGGGGCUCCUCGGGCUUCCUGGAACUCCGGUGACCAACUGCUCGAGGCAGGAAGGCACGGGCAUGGCUGAGGCCCUGGUGGACUUGGGCGGCGACGGGGCUGGGUACACGAGGUCGCAUCGGAUCUGUUGAAGAUAGCUACGAGCAGAGCAGCGCGGCGACGGGAGCUGCAGGGCCAUGGCGGGGAAAGAAAUUCAGUUAAAAAGGCUGAGAGAAAAGAGAAAGAGAGGACCGAAGGAAGAGCUGGAGGAGGUGAGGCGACCUGGCUGGCGCGGGUGCUCGCAGAGUUCAUCUGGCAGAGCAGGUCGACGGCGGUGGCGCCAUGGGCAGGGGCGGCGGAGCUCGAUUCCUGCAGAGACAUGGGAGGGAGAGAGAGAGAGAGAGCACGCUGUGAGAGAGAUCGAGAGGAAUGACGGAGCACCGGGAAAGAGAAGAAGAAGGGAGGCGGCGGUGCUCAUCUCAGAUGACUUUGAAUCCAAGGGCUCGGGCUCGAGUUCUGGUUGGUGGGAGGAGGAAUGGGAGGAUCCCGAUGAGCGAAGGGAGUUGGUCUGGUGGCGGCGGGGGAAAGGAAGGAUGGGACAAGGUGCCUAGGAUCUAGGGUUGGAUAAUGUAUAUAUAUACAUCACGUGGAUAAGGUUAGGGGCUAUCUGGCCCCUCCGAUCACAAUCGGACGGACGAGAAAAUAUGCUAAAGAGUCCAAUAAAUAAAAUGAUGAUAUUUUGCAGAUGUUUGGGGAUGAUCUGGACACAACGGUGGCGACUGCUUGAGUCGGGUCCGGGACAGUUUCGGACGUGCACGUGAGGGGUUCGAUACACUGUGCAUAGAGGGUUUCAGGGACUGACGGUUGUCAGCGGACUGUGCAGAAGGGAUCGAGCUGAGAGAAGAGAAGAGAGAGAGACCCGACAACUGUUUCUGGAGGCCGAAAACGUUCGACGAUAGACCGGCUAUAUUGCCGCUAUAGUUUAACGGUUGGGCUAUCAAACGAACUCCGAAUGCGAUGAAACUUGGCAGGCGACCUACUAACAACAAAACAACACCGCACGCCAACUUUCAACCCAUUCCGAGAACAUUUUCCAUCCACUUAUAAAAUAAUAUUUCGGACCUGCCGCGGGCGCGUGCAAGUGUGUGUGGGCUCAGAACGGACAACAGACGGAACUCAGAGAACCCGGACGAAUGCAAGUUUUAAAACAUGAUGAUGCAAUGCACAUGAUGCCAUGAUAUGCAAUGCAUGACAUGCAAGCAAAGACAAGGCAAACAACAACGAAUAACUGGAAGACACCUGGCACAUCGGUCUCGGGGUGUUACACCCCAAAAGAAAAAAAA